RNAcentral lists this non-coding RNA (139 nucleotides) under unclassified sequences. RNAcentral's name for it is "RT-16 RNA". It matches the Rfam family "RT-16 RNA". Rfam says of the family: candidate division DUSEL4 (Archaea). The record is from Rfam by way of RNAcentral.
CCUAGCUAACUGCACAACAAGGAUGUGUGGGGCAGACUAGGCUACACGUCCUUUCACUAGGGCAAGAAAUUGCUAUAAACAACAACUACAACAGAAAUGAAGUAGCGGUGAUUAGAAUACAGUGAAAGGGCUACUCUUG